CAAACUGGGAUUAGAUACCCACUAUGCUUAGCCCUAAACACAGAUAAUUACAUAAACAAAAUUAUUCGCCAGAGUACUACUAGCAACAGCUUAAAACUCAAAGGACUUGGCGGUGCUUUAUAUCCUUCUAGAGGAGCCUGUUCUAUAAUCGAUAAACCCCGAUAAACCUCACCAAUUCUUGCUAAUACAGUCUAUAUACCGCCAUCUUCAGCAAACCCUAAAAAGGAAAAAAAGUAAGCGUAAUUAUGAUACAUAAAAACGUUAGGUCAAGGUGUAACCUAUGAAAUGGGAAGAAAUGGGCUACAUUCUCUACACUAAGAGAAUCAAGCACGAAAGUUAUUAUGAAACCAAUAACCAAAGGAGGAUUUAGCAGUAAACUAAGAAUAGAGUGCUUAGUUGAAUUAGGCCAUGAAGCACGCACACACCGCCCGUCACCCUC
This 439-nucleotide ribosomal RNA is filed under the name Bos indicus (zebu cattle). Its description in RNAcentral is "partial 12S ribosomal RNA". It matches the Rfam family "Bacterial small subunit ribosomal RNA", at positions 768 to 1404 of the family's 1533-position model. The record is from RNAcentral. Lineage: Eukaryota; Metazoa; Chordata; Mammalia; Artiodactyla; Bovidae.